Molecule: unclassified non-coding RNA, 256 nt
Filed under: Hevea brasiliensis (rubber tree)
Lineage: Eukaryota; Viridiplantae; Streptophyta; Magnoliopsida; Malpighiales; Euphorbiaceae
Source: RNAcentral
GGAAGACUACUAGUUCCUUAAGGCAAAGUUUCCGGGGUUUGAUUGUUGAUCCUUAAGGUCAAGGAUGAAUUCAUGGGAGCUGAAAAACAAACUAGUUGUAGAGGUUGAAGUCGAGUAAAGUAAGGGAGACUAAAUUCGUUUUUUUUAAAUGAGCAGCUGAGAUUGAAAUGAGUAUGAGUGUUCUGUUUCUCUUCUUUUGUGUUGUACUUAUAUUUUGGCUUAUUUGGUUUCAGUUGUGUUCUAUGACAUGAUUGAU